GAUGAAGAACGUAGCGAAAUGCGAUAAGUAGUGUGAAUUGCAGAAUUCAGUGAAUCAUCGAAUCUUUGAACGCACAUUGCGCCCCUUGGUAUUCCAUGGGGCAUGCCUGUUCGAGCGUCAUUUGUACCUUCAAGCUUUGCUUGGUGUUGGGUGUUUGUCCUGAGGGACUCGCCUUAAAGUAAUUGGCAGCCAGUGUUUGGUUUUGAAGCGCAGCACAAGUCGCGAUUCAAGGCUAUACACCAGCUUCCACAAGCCCUUUUCACUUUUGACCUCGGAUCAGGUAGGGAUACCCGCUGAACUUAAGCAUAUCAAUAAGCGGAGGA
This 323-nucleotide unclassified non-coding RNA is filed under the name soil metagenome. RNAcentral describes it as "partial contains 5.8S ribosomal RNA, internal transcribed spacer 2, and large subunit ribosomal RNA". The stretch from base 1 to 120 matches the Rfam family "5.8S ribosomal RNA", at positions 35 to 154 of the family's 154-position model. The record is from RNAcentral.